CUCCUCCCAUCUCCUCUCCUCCCAUCUCCUCUCCUCCCAUCUCCUCUUCUCUCUACUGAUUUGCACUAAUGUUGAGGGACCUGGGAUUUUUACAUAUCAACCUCACGAUGGAGACGCUACACUCUACAUGCUGAUAACAUACGCUAUAACAAUACUUUUAUAAGUUCAGAGAUUCGGUUCUGUGACGUUGCAUCAUGUGGUCAAAACCACCUUUUCAUUCUGGGGCGGAGAUGAGAGAUGGCGGAGCAUCUUUCUCUAUUCUAACAUCUGGUCUGUUCUUUUUGAUUUUCUAUUCCUCAUGAGGCAUUUGUUGAAUUAGGUACCAUUUCGGAUGCAACCAAUGAGAGAGCUCUCUCUCUCUCUUUCUCUUUCUCUCUCUGCAGUUUGGUUGGUAGGUAGAUUUGGGCUCUAUGGUUUAGAAUAGAGCUCCUCUCUCUCUCUCUCUCUCUCUCUCUCUCUCUCUCUCUGCAGUGUGGUUGGUAGGUAGAUUUGGGCUCUAUGGUUUAGAAUAGAGCUCCUCUCUCUCUCUCUCUCUCCCUCUAUGCAGUGUGGUUGGUAGGUAGAUUUGGGCUCUAUGGUUUAGAAUAGAGCUCCUCUCUCUCUCUCUCCCUCUGCAGUGUGGUUGGUAGGUAGAUUUGGGCUCUAUGGUUUAGAAUAGAGAGCUCUCUCUCUCUGCAGUGUGGUUGGUAGGUAGAUUUGGGCUCCAUGGUUUAGAAUAGAGCUCCUCUCUCUCUCUCUCUCUCUGCAGUGUGGUUGGUAGGUAGAUUUGGGCUCUAUGGUUUAGAAUAGAGCUCCUCUCUCUCUCUCUCUGCAGUGUGGUUGGUAGGUAGAUUUGGGCUCUAUGGUUUAGAAUAGAGCUCCUCUCUCUCUCUCUCUCUCUGCAGUGUGGUUGGUAGGUAGAUUUGGGCUCUAUGGUUUAGAAUAGAGCUCCUCUCUCUCUCUCUCUGCAGUGUGGUUGGUAGGUAGAUUUGGGCUCUAUGGUUUAGAAUAGAGCUCCUCUCUCUCUCUCUCUGCAGUGUGGUUGGUAGGUAGAUUUGGGCUCUAUGGUUUAGAAUAGAGCUCCUCUCUCUCUCUCUCUGCAGUGUGGUUGGUAGGUAGAUUUGGGCUCUAUGGUUUAGAAUAGAGCUCCUCUCUCUCUCUCUCUGCAGUGUGGUUGGUAGGUAGAUUUGGGCUCUAUGGUUUAGAAUAGAGAGCUCUCUCUCUCUGCAGUGUGGUUGGUAGGUAGAUUUGGGCUCUAUGGUUUAGAAUAGAGCUCCUCUCUCUCUCUCUCUGCAGUGUGGUUGGUAGGUAGAUUUGGGCUCUAUGGUGUAGAAUAGAGCUCCUCUCUCUCUCUCUCUGCAGUGUGGUUGGUAGGUAGAUUUGGGCUCUGUGGGUUGAAGGUUAGAACAAAUAACCAUACAGAAUAAGACGUGUUUGUUUUUAAAUAGCUGGUAUCUAUUCAUGUUUAAUUAGACAUUUCAAUCUUAAUACUAGACUUUGUUCUAGCUGUAUUUGUGUUCAGUAAUAGUCGUAUGUUUCACUUACUGCUGGUACAGUUAUACUCCAUGUUAUUAUGUAGGUAUCUUCAGUCAUAUUCUCUCUGGGAGCAGCCAGCUAGCGACACAGAGGACAGCCUUCUAUACUGCUCUAUCUCAUCAGUUGGGAGUAUAAUCUGCAACGUUAACGUGAUGUCUCUACGUCGUUAACGUGACGUCUCUACGACGUUAACGUGACGUCUCUACGACGUUAACGUGACGUCUCUACGACGUUAACGUGACGUCUCUACGACGUUAACGUGACGUCUUACGACGUUAACGUGACGUCACUACGACGUUAACGUGACGUCUCUACGACGUUAACGUGACGUCUCUACGACGUUAACGUGACGUCUCUAUAACGUUAACGUGACGUCUCUAACGUUAAACGUCUCUCUAACAUUAACGUGACGUCUCUAUAACGUUAAACGUCUCUCUAACAUUAACAUGACGUCUCUAUAACGUUAAACGUCUCUCUAACAUUAACAUGACGUCUCUAUAACGUUAAACGUCUCUCUAACAUUAACAUGACGUUUCUAUAACGUUAUUAAUAAUCCCUGGUACAGGAUGCGACAGAGUUUUUUUUUCAUGACUGAAUAAGAGAAAGGAAUGAAACAACCAGCCAGAGAGAUGGACCUUAUUUAGUAUUUUCGAUGUUGUUUCUUCUUCUCUGAUGAACAACUGUGUUGUGUAGCGGUAGUUAGUGCUAGGUAGCGCUAGGUAGGGUAGUUAGCGCUAGGGAGCGGUAGUUAGCACUAGGUAGCGGUAGGUAGCUGUAGUUAGUGCUAGGUAGCGGUAGUUAGUGCUAGGUAGCGGUAGUUAGUGCUAAGUAGCGGUAGUUAGUGCUAGGUAGCGGUAGUUAGCGGUAGUUAGCGCUAGGUAGCGGUAGUUAGCGCUAGGGAGCGGUAGUUAGCACUAGGUAGCGGUAGGUAGCUGUAGUUAGCGGUAGGUAGCUGUAGUUAGCAGUAGGUAGCUGUAGGUAGCAGUAGGUAGCUGUAGUUAGCCGUAGAUAGCCGUAGUUAGCGGUAGAUAGCGGUAGGUAGCCGUAGUUAGCGGUAGGUAGCCGUAGUUAGCGGUAGGUAGCCGUAGAUAGCGGUAGAUAGCCGUAGUUAGCGGUAGGUAGCGGUAGGUAGCCGUAGAUAGCGGUAGAUAGGCUGCGGCAGGUUGUGAAACUGACUUGUCCUUUACCUCCUGUACCAAAGCAGCAGACAUUCCUUCCUGUAGGAAACCUAGUACAGGUGUUUCAUUCUUCUCAGCUACUAACUUAUUAACGGAAAGGUGGUGAUUAGGGUUGUGAAAUUCCAGAAAUGUUUCCAAAAUUCCCAGAUUUCCCGGAAAUUCCGGUUGGAAGAUUCUGGAAAAUCCAGGGAUCCUCCAACCAACUAGAAUUUCUCUGGGGGUGCUAGAACAUGAUAAAGCUCUAAGGGUUUAUGAGGCACUUUUCAUCUUAACGCUUUAAAACCCUUCAUACAUGUCCUUACAUUCCAUCAUCCCAACUCAUAUCCUUUGGACAUUUUAGCAUAUUUACAUUUGACUAAAGCUACACUUCCUAAAUGCUACCCUAUGUCCUAGGCAGCGCCCUACGUUUGACCAGCCCUUCAUCUCCUCAGAGGAAGACGAGCAAGAGGAAGACGUUUGACAAUAUUCUCUUUUGGUGCUUUUCUCAAACGUGUCUGUCCAAAAGUAGUGCACUUAUGUAGGGAAUAGGGAACCAUUUGGGAUGGAGCUGAAAACAUAUUCUCUGAGGGCCGGGAUCCAGCUGCCAGUCAGCUGUUGUUGUUGUUAUUAUUAUUGACUUUUAAUGUUUAAUGAGUUUAGAUGUAAAGAAACUCUUCUAAUCUAUAGUAGUUCAUAACAGAUGAAUCGGUCUGUACUUUCUGUAAAUGUUACGAGAGAACGUUUUAUUUAGGCCAUUGUGGUGAAAUGAACUGUCUUUAAUGCAUGAACACAGAGGGAAGGGGACACUAGUGUCCUGAAGUCAUUUAUCCUAAAACACAUUUCAUUACCGUCACUAGGUAGUAGUAGGGUUGCCUCAUUUCUAAUAACUUUUCCUAAAAUUCCCAGGUUUUCAAAAAAAAAAAAAAUAAAUCCCGGUUGGAAGGAUUCACAGGAUCAGGAGGGAGAAGCAGAAAAUGUGUGAAUCCUCCAAACAGAAUCUGGCCGUUUUUUGGGGAAAGUUAACGUUAUUUUGGAGUCUCUCACUUGUUCUGCUUCGGGCAACACAAUUCCCUACACGCUGUAGGAAAAUCACUUCAUGACAAAGUCUUUUUUUUUUUUAUAUAGGUAACUAUAAGACCAUCAUUACGCUGUGCGUAACGAAAUGUACAGAGAACAUUAAACAAUCAUAGGUAUUUUUGGAGGAUCAAUGAAUUUGUUAAUGACAUGUAGCUAUUUAAUUUCCCUUAUUUCUUUUUGUCCAAUCAUGCAUUUUAUAACGUCUUGUUUUUGGUGUAAAAAAAAAAAACUUUUUUUUUUUAGAAUGUUUUUUUUAUUUUUUUUUAAAGGUUAAAGUGCAGGAACACAGAAAUGAUUUGAAAACACUGCAUUGAUGAUAGCCACUUGUGUAUUUUGGCAGUUAUAAUGUUGCAUAAAGGCCACUCAGCAGACAGUCUACAAAGACAAUAACGGUUAUGUCCCAACAUAUAUAAGGAAUUGUCUCAUUUGUAACCAACCCUCUUUAUUUCAACCAUGUGCCUCUUGAGACAAUUGAACAAAAAAAUAUAUCGUUGUCAUCCAACUUGUUUGACUUCUUUUUGUGAUCCAGUAAUAACAGGUGUAUAAGCCAGAUGGUCAUCCAACCAGUUUGGGAUAAAGAUGCUACUGUAUUAGCUCUGUUAUUUAAUGGAAGAUCCCAGGAAGACUGUGUGCUUCCACAUCUAUGAUAUGCAUCCAAAAUGGCACCGUUUCCCUGUAUAGUGUACUAGUCAACAGCAGAUACGAAGGGAAUUUAGGUACCAUUUCAGGUGCAACCAAUGAGACACUAAAUAAACAGUAUUCUGUAUUCUACUGUCCAUGCUGUUAGUACAUCUGUGUUAAACUUUCAUUUUGUGGCCUUGUUCCUCCAACUAAAAAGGUUUUGGCAGGCCAACUUUUUUUUUGUACUUAAGAUGAACAAUAAACUGCUCUUAAACCUCAA
Long non-coding RNA from Oncorhynchus gorbuscha (pink salmon), 4650 nucleotides. RefSeq lists it as uncharacterized. Lineage: Eukaryota; Metazoa; Chordata; Actinopteri; Salmoniformes; Salmonidae. The record is from RefSeq and is a predicted model, not a curated record. The transcript is spliced from 4 exons.